This 465-nucleotide ribosomal RNA is filed under the name uncultured bacterium. Its description in RNAcentral is "partial 16S ribosomal RNA". It matches the Rfam family "Bacterial small subunit ribosomal RNA", at positions 28 to 507 of the family's 1533-position model. The record is from RNAcentral.
GACGAACGCUGGCGGCGUGCUUAACACAUGCAAGUCGAACGGAAAGGCCCUGCUUGCCGGGUACUCGAGUGGCGAACGGGUGAGUAACACGUGGGUGAUCUGCCCUGCACUUCGGGAUAAGCCUGGGAAACUGGGUCUAAUACCGGAUAGGAGCCAUUUUUAGUGUGAUGGUUGGAAAGUUUUUUCGGUGUAGGAUGAGCUCGCGGCCUAUCAGCUUGUUGGUGGGGUAAUGGCCUACCAAGGCGGCGACGGGUAGCCGGCCUGAGAGGGUGGACGGCCACAUUGGGACUGAGAGACGGCCCAGACUCCUACGGGAGGCAGAAGUGGGGAAUAUUGCACAAUGGGCGCAAGCCUGAUGCAGCGACGCCGCGUGGGGGAUGACGGCCUUCGGGUUGUAAACUCCUUUCGCUAGGGACGAAGCUUUUUGUGACGGUACCUAGAGAAGAAGCACCGGCUAACUACGUG